UGACUCAGAUGGUAAAGUAUCUGCCUGCAAUGCAGGAGACUCAGGUUCAAUCCCUGG
This 57-nucleotide transfer RNA is filed under the name Bos taurus (domestic cattle). It matches the Rfam family "tRNA", at positions 8 to 63 of the family's 71-position model. Rfam says of the family: Transfer RNA (tRNA) molecules are approximately 80 nucleotides in length. Their secondary structure includes four short double-helical elements and three loops (D, anti-codon, and T loops). The record is from Rfam by way of RNAcentral. Lineage: Eukaryota; Metazoa; Chordata; Mammalia; Artiodactyla; Bovidae. RNAcentral also lists the same sequence under 5 other names.